RNAcentral lists this ribosomal RNA (119 nucleotides) under Arabis alpina (gray rockcress). The record is from RNAcentral. Lineage: Eukaryota; Viridiplantae; Streptophyta; Magnoliopsida; Brassicales; Brassicaceae.
GGGUGCGAUCAUACCAGCACUAAUGCACCGGAUCCCAUCAGAACUCCGCAGUUAAGUGUGCUUGGACGAGAGUAGUACUAGGAUGGGUGACCUCCUGGGAAGUUCUCGUGUUGCACCGC